RNAcentral lists this long non-coding RNA (746 nucleotides) under Bos taurus (domestic cattle). RNAcentral's name for it is "long non-coding RNA NONBTAT001484". The record is from RNAcentral. Lineage: Eukaryota; Metazoa; Chordata; Mammalia; Artiodactyla; Bovidae.
GUUCAAGUUUCAAGCUGGGCUUUGGCCUGGUUCAAGUCCCACCUGAGUUAUACAGUUCCAAUACCAAGAGUUGAAGUAAAUGGUAAGAGAUGACUGUUUAUUACUAUCCUGAAUGUAAGGCAUGAUGAGUGGAAUUUUAAGAGUCUUUAUUUAAAAAAAAAUUUUUUAUAAACAAAUGUAAAACUCAUCAAUCCAUUAACUAAAAGCUUUGCUGCCCCAAACAUGGCAAUUUCUCAAACAUGAAAUCAGUGUCAUUUGUUUUUCUUGAGCACAGACCAGGUUGCAAAUAUACACUGACUUCCUUCAGUAGAAGUUGUGAAAUUGCUGGAAAAUGGCUGAGGAUCUUUGACCUGUCUCUUCAAAGGACCAGUUCCCAAGUCUCUCCUUUCAACACUCCCUGCUUGCUGCUAUUUAAGCUACCACCUGGAAGCAUAUUCAGCAUGUGGGACCAGCCCUAAAACUUGCUGGAGUUCUUGUUUCUUCCUUGGUCUGUACAAGGCCACCAUUCAGUAACCUUGAGAACCAUUAAACCCGUCACAAGACCACCUGAUGCCAGAUGAUUGAAGGAAUGAAGGCCCUGCAUGCACCCUGAUCCUUAUCAGCACCUCUGCCUCUUGACUACAAGACUCCUCACAAUCCACUUAUUCCACCCCCGGUUGGGACAUACAGUUUUGAGGGCAUUAGCCUGCUGCAGCCCCCUUUGCCUGGCAAAGCAAUAAAACUAUUCGUUUCUAUGUCAUCCAAAA